AAUUAAAUAGCUAUUAUCACUUGUAUAACCUCAAUAAUAUGGUUUGAGGGUGUCUACCAGGAACCGUAAAAUCCUGAUUACAAAAUUUGUUUAUGACAUUU
RNAcentral lists this non-coding RNA (101 nucleotides) under Bacillus subtilis subsp. subtilis str. 168. RNAcentral's name for it is "adenine riboswitch". It matches the Rfam family "Purine riboswitch aptamer". Rfam says of the family: Riboswitches are metabolite binding domains within certain messenger RNAs that serve as precision sensors for their corresponding targets. Allosteric rearrangement of mRNA structure is mediated by ligand binding, and this results in modulation of gene expression. A class of riboswitches that selectively recognises guanine and becomes saturated at concentrations as low as 5 nM. Lineage: Bacteria; Bacillati; Bacillota; Bacilli; Caryophanales; Bacillaceae. The record is from RNAcentral.